This 440-nucleotide ribosomal RNA is filed under the name uncultured bacterium. Its description in RNAcentral is "partial 16S ribosomal RNA". It matches the Rfam family "Bacterial small subunit ribosomal RNA", at positions 338 to 795 of the family's 1533-position model. The record is from RNAcentral.
CCUACGGGAGGCAGCAGUGGGGGAUAUUGCACAAUGGGGGGAACCCUGAUGCAGCGACGCCGCGUGGGUGAAGAAGGGCCUCGGGGCGUAAAGCCCUGGCAGCAGGGAAGAAAAUGACGGUACCUGAAGAAGAAGCCACGGCUAACUACGGGCCAGCAGCCGCGGUAAUACGUAGGGGGAAAGCGUUAUCCGGAUUUACUGGGUGGACCGGGGGCGGAGCCGGCGAUGACAGCCCGUAGUGAAAGCCCGGGGCCCAACCCCGGGACUGCUCUUGGAACUGCGUGGCUGGAGUGCAGGAGGGGCAGGCGGAAUUCCUGGUGUAGCGGUGAAAUGCGUAGAUAUCAGGAGGAACACCGGUGGCGAAGGCGGCCUGCUGGACUGCAACUGCCGUUGCGGCCCGAAAGCGUGGGGAGCAAACAGGAUUAGAUACCCGAGUAGUC